RNAcentral lists this transfer RNA (73 nucleotides) under Deltaproteobacteria bacterium. Its description in RNAcentral is "tRNA-Phe". It matches the Rfam family "tRNA". From Rfam's summary of the family: Transfer RNA (tRNA) molecules are approximately 80 nucleotides in length. Their secondary structure includes four short double-helical elements and three loops (D, anti-codon, and T loops). Further hydrogen bonds mediate the characteristic L-shaped molecular structure. tRNAs have two regions of fundamental functional importance: the anti-codon, which is responsible for specific mRNA codon recognition, and the 3' end, to which the tRNAs corresponding amino acid is attached (by aminoacyl-tRNA synthetases). tRNAs cope with the degeneracy of the genetic code in two manners: having more than one tRNA (with a specific anti-codon) for a particular amino acid; and 'wobble' base-pairing, i.e. permitting non-standard base-pairing at the 3rd anti-codon position. RNAcentral also lists the same sequence under 5 other names. Lineage: Bacteria; Pseudomonadati; Myxococcota; Myxococcia. The record is from RNAcentral.
GCCCAGGUAGCUCAGCUGGUAGAGCAGCGGACUGAAAAUCCGCGUGUCGGCGGUUCAACUCCGUCCCUGGGCA